Molecule: ribosomal RNA, 437 nt
Filed under: uncultured bacterium
Lineage: Bacteria
Description: partial 16S ribosomal RNA
Rfam family: Bacterial small subunit ribosomal RNA
Source: RNAcentral
AGCGAACGCUGGCGGCAGGCUUAACACAUGCAAGUCGAGCGGGCAUCCUUGUGGUGUCAGCGGCAGACGGGUGAGUAGCGCGUGGGAACGUGCCCUUCGGUUCGGAAUAACUCAGGGAAACUUGAGCUAAUACCGGAUACGUGCGAGAGCAGAAAGGUUUAUCUGCCGAAGGAUCGGCCCGCGUCUGAUUAGCUAGUUGGUGAGGUUACGGCUCACCAAGGCGACGAUCAGUAGCUGGUCUGAGAGGAUGAUCAGCCACACUGGGACUGAGACACGGCCCAGACUCCUACGGGAGGCAGCAGUGGGGAAUAUUGGACAAUGGGGGCAACCCUGAUCCAGCCAUGCUGCGUGAGUGAUGACGGCCUUAGGGUUGUAAAGCUCUUUUCUCCGGGACGAUAAUGACGGUACCGGAGGAAUAAGCCCCGGCUAACUUCGUG